AGCCAGUUAGCUCAGCUGGUUAGAGCGUGGUGCUAAUAAUGCCAAGGUCGUGGGUUCAAGCCCCAUACUAGCCA
Oreochromis niloticus (Nile tilapia) is the source of this 74-nucleotide non-coding RNA. The record is from Rfam. Lineage: Eukaryota; Metazoa; Chordata; Actinopteri; Cichliformes; Cichlidae.